This 306-nucleotide ribosomal RNA is filed under the name Antheraea assamensis (Indian muga silkmoth). RNAcentral's name for it is "partial 16S ribosomal RNA". The record is from RNAcentral. Lineage: Eukaryota; Metazoa; Arthropoda; Insecta; Lepidoptera; Saturniidae.
UCGAAAUUUAAUUUUUUAAUUAAAAAGUUAAAAUAUGUUAAAAAGACGAGAAGACCCUAUAGAGUUUUAUAUUAAAUAAUAUUUAAAUUAUUUAUAAAUUUCAUUAAUUAUAAAUUUUAUUUAAUAUUUUGUUGGGGUGAUAGAAAAAUAAAAAAAACUUUUUUUAAAAAUAGUCAUUAAUAAGUGAAUAAUUGAUCCAAUUUUAUUGAUUAUAAGAAAAAAUUACCUUAGGGAUAACAGCGUAAUUUUUUUUUUUAGUUCUUAUAAAAAGAAAAGUUUGCGACCUCGAUGUUGGAUCAGGACAAA